Molecule: long non-coding RNA, 944 nt
Organism: Herpailurus yagouaroundi (jaguarundi)
Lineage: Eukaryota; Metazoa; Chordata; Mammalia; Carnivora; Felidae
Exons: 2
Source: RefSeq, a predicted model, not a curated record
CAUAGUGAGAGUGCAAGCAAUCCCUGCUUCUAUCAAGUAAUUGCUGGGUAGUGAGGUUGGAAUAUGAAUUGAGCAAUUACAGUGAGGGUUCAGGAAGUACGGGCUGAUAUGGGCGAGCAUGGCAGGCAAACUUAGCCUCAUAAGGGUAGAGGUGAUGGAGAGAAGUGACCUGUAGGCUGAUACCCAAUGAGUAGGAGCUAAGCAGUUGGGAUAGGAAGGAGAAAAUGAAGCUGAUACAAAGAACAGCCUGGAUCGAGGUCUAGAAGCAAGAAAGAGCAUGCUGUGGCAGAGGAAGAGAAGCAGUAAAUUGUAAGCAAAUCGACCUUGAAGCUCUAUUUUGCAGUAGUCGUACUGGCCUUUGUCAUCAGACCUCUAGAUCUACACCCCCUGUGCAGUCGUCCUUGUCUCACCUUUUGGGCACUUUUUCAAUACUUCCUCCUCCAUUUCUACUUCCUCAUCACGCUGGGAGGAGGGGAAGCCAGGCGAGCUGAGGUCACUGGGCUCAGAAGCUGUCAGAAGAAGCAGCCACAGUGCCUGCAUUUCAUGACAGUACCUCAUACAAGCAUUGCUUCCCAGUGUUCAAGCCUUUCUUGUGCGUGUGUGUUUCACGUGAAUAACUCUGCAUGGCUGAGAAGGCAUUUUUCAAAUCAAGACAUUUAUGGUCAGGUUAAGCAAUCGGGAUAAUAGAGACUCUCCAGUGAGGGUUGCAACAAAAACUAGGGCAUAAAGCACCAAACUUUUAGUUGAAUGCAAACUGUUCACAUCUAAAGUGGAACAGAUCACUGCAGGCUUCCUCAGCUCCAAUAUGCUAAUGAUGCAUUGGGCAUUCCCAGGGGGGUGCAGAGUAUGCGGUGAUUCCGGAACUUACUCCACUGAGAACCUGUUGGAGCCGAGGCAGCCUCCUUGGCUGACUCGUGUUCUGUAAUACAGUUGGAAAAAUACCA